Molecule: ribosomal RNA, 3088 nt
Filed under: Spirochaetaceae bacterium
Lineage: Bacteria; Pseudomonadati; Spirochaetota; Spirochaetia; Spirochaetales; Spirochaetaceae
Description: 23S ribosomal RNA
Rfam family: Bacterial large subunit ribosomal RNA
Source: RNAcentral
GGUCAAGCGAAUACAAGUUUGCGGGGGAUGCCUUGGAGCUAUCAGGCGACGAAGGCCGUGGUAAGCUGCGAAAAUCCACGGGGAGGAGCAAACAUCCUUAGAUCCGUGGGUGGCCGAAUGGGGUAACCCGAACGUCUCAAAAUGGCGUUCAUCCGUGCGUGAAUACAUAGCGCACGGAAGCGAUACCGGGGGAACUGAACCAUCUAAGUACCCCGAGGAAAAGACAUCAACCGAGAUUUCCUGAGUAGUGGCGAACGAAACGGAAACAGCCCAAACCCGGUGUAUGCAAGGCUUACACCGUUGUACGCCGGGGGUUGUAGGGCCUUGUUUUGGUCGGGUGUAGGACCGGCCGCGGAGUUACCAAUCAGUCGUAUAGGAGAAUGCUACUGGGAAGGGCAACCAGAGAGGGUGAAAGUCCCGUAUCCGAAAUGCGAUUGACUCCGUGACAGGGUGCCUGAGUACGGCGGGACACGUGGAAUCUUGCUGGAAUCUGGGAGGACCACCUUCCAAGGCUAAACACUAGAUAGCUACCGAUAGUGGACAAGUACCGUGAGGGAAAGGUGAAAAGUACCCCGAGAGGGGAGUGAAAUAGAACCUGAAACCGCAAACUUACAAGCGGUCAAAGGGAGAUCUUGUAUCUCCUGAUGGCGUGCCUUUUGUAGAAUGAACCGGCGAGUUACGCUGCGCAGCGAGGUUAAGGUACUGGAGUGCCGGAGCCGUAGGGAAACCGAGUCUGAACAGGGCGAUUCAGUUGCGUGGAGUAGACCCGAAGCCGAGCGAUCUAGCCAUGGCCAGGCUGAAGCGUUGGUAACACACCGUGGAGGGCCGAACGGUAGUCUGUUAAAAAAGGCACCGAUGAGUUGUGGCUAGGAGUGAAAGGCUAAACAAGCUCGGAGAUAGCUGGUACUCCCCGAAAUAGCUUUAGGGCUAGCCUCACCUUAGUGUGACGGAGGUAGAGCACUGAAUGGACUAGGGCCCUUCACCGGGUACCAAACCCAAUCAAACUCCGAAUGCCGUUAUAUGAUGGGUGGGAGUCAGACUACGGGCGAUAAGGUCCGUGGUCGAGAGGGAAACAGCCCAGACCGUCGACUAAGGUCCCCAAGUCAGGCUAAGUGGAAAAGGAAGUGUAAUUGCAGAGACAGCCAGGAGGUUGGCUUAGAAGCAGCCAUUCCUUGAAAGAGUGCGUAACAGCUCACUGGUCGAGUGGUCCUGCGCGGAAAAUGUAACGGGGCUCAAGCACACCGCCGAAGCUGCGGGAUUCCAUCAAUAACUCUGACGUGUACGCGUCCAGAGGAUGGGAUCGGUAGGGGAGCGUCGAGCAGCCAGAGAAGCAGCGGCGUAAGCCAGCUGUGGAGGCUGCUCAAGUGAGAAUGCCGGUAUGAGUAGCGAGAGUGGAGUGAGAAUCUCCACCGCCGAAAGUCCAAGGGUUCCUGGGGAAGGCUCGUCCGCCCAGGGUUAGUCGGGACCUAAGGCGAGGCCGAUAGGCGUAGUCGAUGGACAACUGGUUGAUAUUCCAGUACCACCAUGCAAGCGUCCAGACUGAGCGCAGCUUGCUAAGGAGAGCCCUUCGGGGCCCUCCGACCCAGCGGCGGGAGGUCAGCAAUGGGAUGACGCGGAAGGGUAAGUGGACCCGGGCGUUGGUUGCCCCGGGGUAAGUGUGUAGGGCGAGGUCCAGGCAAAUCCGGACCUCAUGAAGCCAGAGGCACGAUGCCGAGCCGCUUUAGGCGAAGCCACUGAACGCCCAUGCCGCCGAGAAAACUCUCUAGCGAGCUUGUAUGGUGCCCGUACCCCAAACCGACACAGGUGGACAGGUAGAGAAUACCAAGGCGAGCGAGAUAACUCUGGUUAAGGAACUAGGCAAAAUGGUUCCGUAACUUCGGGAGAAGGAUCGCCCCGGUAAAGUGAAGGAUGUUACAUCCCGAGCUUGAGGGGGCUGCAGUGACCAGGCCCGAGCGACUGUUUACUAAAAACACAGCAGCGUGCUAAGUCGCAAGACGCUGUAUACGCUGUGACGCCUGCCCGGUGCCGGAAGGUUAAGAGGGGGGGUUAGCCUAGGCGAAGCUCUGAAUCUAAGCCCCGGUAAACGGCGGCCGUAACUAUAACGGUCCUAAGGUAGCGAAAUUCCUUGUCGGGUAAGUUCCGACCUGCACGAAUGGUGUAACGAUCUGGGCGCUGUCUCAACGCGGGACUCGGUGAAAUUGAAGUAUCGGUGAAGAUGCCGAUUAUCCAUGGCUAGACGGAAAGACCCCGUGAACCUUUACUGUAGCCUGGCAUAGGCACUUGGCCUGUGAUGUGUAGGAUAGGUGGGAGGCUGCGAACUCUGGUCGUUAGGCUGGAGGGAGCCGUUGGUGAAAUACCACCCUUUACAGGUUAGGUUUCUAACGCUCGCCGUGAAGCCGGCGAGUGGACAGUGUCAGGUGGGCGGUUUGACUGGGGCGGUCGCCUCCUAAAGAGUAACGGAGGCGCGCAAAGGUCACCUCGCGCUGGUUGGAAAUCAGCGUACGAGUGCAAAGGCAAAAGGUGGCUUGACUGCGAGACCUACAAGUCGAGCAGGUGCGAAAGCAGGUCUUAGUGAUCUGGUGGUUGCGAGUGGAAGCGCCAUCACUAAACGGACAAAAGGUACUCCGGGGAUAACAGGCUAAUAGUGCCCAAGCGUCCAUAGCGACGGCACUGUUUGGCACCUCGAUGUCGGCUCAUCGCAUCCUGGGGCUGGAGCAGGUCCCAAGGGUUUGGCUGUUCGCCAAUUAAAGCGGUACGUGAGCUGGGUUCAGAACGUCGUGAGACAGUUCGGUCCCUAUCUGCCAUGGGCGUUGGUUGCUUGAGAGGAGCUGCUUCUAGUACGAGAGGACCGAAGUGGACGAACCGCUGGUGUACCAGUUAUGCCGCCAGGUGUAACCGCUGGGUAGCCAUGUUCGGAAGGGAUAACCGCUGAAAGCAUCUAAGUGGGAAGCCCCCCUCAAGAUUAGGCAACCCUGGCCCGUCAAGGGCCCUGAAGGUACCAGAGAGACUAUCUGGUUGAUAGGCUGGAGGUGGAAGCGCAGUAAUGCGUUGAGCCGACCAGUACUAAUUUACCGUGAGGCUUGACCAU